This 561-nucleotide ribosomal RNA is filed under the name uncultured bacterium. RNAcentral's name for it is "bacterial SSU rRNA". It matches the Rfam family "Bacterial small subunit ribosomal RNA", at positions 338 to 916 of the family's 1533-position model. The record is from RNAcentral.
CCUACGGGAGGCAGCAGUGGGGAAUAUUGGACAAUGGGCGAAAGCCUGAUCCAGCAAUGCCGCGUGAGUGAUGAAGGCCUUAGGGUUGUAAAGCUCUUUUACCCGGGAUGAUAAUGACAGUACCGGGAGAAUAAGCUCCGGCUAACUCCGUGCCAGCAGCCGCGGUAAUACGGAGGGAGCUAGCGUUGUUCGGAAUUACUGGGCGUAAAGCGUACGUAGGCGGUUAUUCAAGUCAGAGGUGAAAGCCCGGGGCUCAACCCCGGAACUGCCUUUGAAACUAGAUAGCUAGAAUCUUGGAGAGGUCAGUGGAAUUCCGAGUGUAGAGGUGAAAUUCGUAGAUAUUCGGAAGAACACCAGUGGCGAAGGCGACUGACUGGACAAGUAUUGACGCUGAGGUACGAAAGCGUGGGGAGCAAACAGGAUUAGAUACCCUGGUAGUCCACGCCGUAAACGAUGAUAACUAGCUGUCCGGGCACUUGGUGCCUGGGUGGCGCAGCUAACGCAUUAAGUUAUCCGCCUGGGGAGUACGGUCGCAAGAUUAAAACUCAAAGGAAUUGACGG